Molecule: long non-coding RNA, 739 nt
Organism: Ostrinia nubilalis (European corn borer)
Lineage: Eukaryota; Metazoa; Arthropoda; Insecta; Lepidoptera; Crambidae
Exons: 3
Source: RefSeq, a predicted model, not a curated record
AAAUAUGACAAGUGAAGUUCGCUAUAAUUACUAAGGUGGAUUCGACCAAAUAAGCACAGCGCCGCGCCCGCGCCCGUCCCCGCGCCCGCGCCGGACGGACACUCGAUCAAUACUGAAGUCAGGGGGGAGAUCGGCGUAGCCGCGCUGCCCGCUAUCCCGCACUCGGCGUCGACCCCGCACCACAUCGAUUUAUGAACGCGGGACCCGCCCCAGUGCUAAUACUAGUACAACACUACUAGUCCACACACGGUUCAACGGACUGGUCACGUGUUAACUGACAGACGAGUCGAUCCCAGAGCGAACACGUAUUAAAUUGUAGUUAAAUCACUAACCAUAACCACUGAUCAAUUAAUUUAACGCUUGAAUUUAUACUAACAUAACAUAGUAUUUUUACCAAUAUCAAUUUAACGAGCUGUCAAAUGUUAUGUCAUAGGUUGUCUUCUUCUUCUUUUUAUUUUGUUUAUGGCCAGGUCUGGGAUAUUAUGGCUUCUCGAGUAACCUCCCCAUAGUUAAAGUAACUGACAGUGAUUGAGUGUUGUCAAACAGCGCUGUUUAGGCCGUGAUCACAUUAAACGUACUUAAAAUUCCAGCCACGAAUGGCAAAAAGUGUACAGUACGGAUAAAAGAAACUAAGCACAGCCAUUGACAUAACAUUUUGACAAUCAAUAUGUAAACAUAUUCGAUUGAAUAACCUGGACUAAAGAAAUAACUUGUAUAUCUUUUCCUAUUAUUAUAUUGU